RNAcentral lists this ribosomal RNA (583 nucleotides) under uncultured bacterium. RNAcentral's name for it is "partial 16S ribosomal RNA". It matches the Rfam family "Bacterial small subunit ribosomal RNA", at positions 355 to 1375 of the family's 1533-position model. The record is from RNAcentral.
UGGGGAAUUUUGGACAAUGGGCGAAAGCCUGAUCCAGCAAUGCCGCGUGUGAAGAAGGCCUUCGGGUUGUAAAGCACUUUUGUCCGGAAAGAAAUCCUUGGCUCUAAUACAGUCGGGGGAUGACGGUACCGGAAGAAUAAGCACCGGCUAACUACGUGCCAGCAGCCGCGGUAAUACGUAGGGUGCAAGCGUUAAUCGGAAUUACUGGGCGUAAAGCGUGCGCAGGCGGUUUGCUAAGACCGAUGUGAAAUCCCCGGGCUCAACCUGGGAACUGCAUUGGUGACUGGCAGGCUAGAGUAUGGCAGAGGGGGGUAGAAUUCCACGUGUAGCAGUGAAAUGCGUAGAGAUGUGGAGGAAUACCGAUGGCGAAGGCAGCCCCCUGGGCCAAUACUGACGCUCAUGCACGAAAGCGUGGGGAGCAAACAGGAUUAGAUACCCUGGUAGUCCACGCCCUAAACGAUGUCAACUAGUUGUUGGGGAUUCAUUUCCUUAGUAACGUAGCUAACGCGUGAAGUUGACCGCCUGGGGAGUACGGUCGCAAGAUUAAAACUCAAAGGAAUUGACGGGGUCAUAGCUGUUUCCU